AUAGAGAAAUACAAUUUGUAAUACGCUCCAAACAGUAUCUCUCCCCUUUCUUUUAAUGUUACUGUACCACAAUCAGGUACUAUUCUGUUGAAAACUAUGAAACUUGAAGCACUCAACUAUUAGAAACGUUGUAAGUAACGCAUACCAAUUUGUAACAGUAAGUUAUACAGUGCAGGAAUUGUCAAAUGUUAUAGCGAUGAAAACUUUUGAGACAUGGUGUUAAUAUGGAAUAGCCAUUUCUCAAAUGGUUUGUGAUUAUAUUUGCGCAGCACACUUAUACAUGUACAUAUCACAAUAUGCCACUUAAAUUCAACAGUCUGCCAAAUUGUUGCACAUAUCGGUAUUUGUGAAGACAAAACAUUUCAGUUUGCAGUUUUCUAGAAAAAAAAAAACGAAACCUUUCGUGACAGAGAAAAACCCAACUAAAAAGUUGCUGCAGCAAACGAAUUGGAGUGUUUGGAGCUGUGUGGAUUAGAAGAGAAUUCAUGAACUUUCUUCAACAACAAGAGAUUCAUUCCGCCUGACUCUGUGCGGCUGCGAGGGAUUCCGCAAAAGGGAGGCUAGAAGGACACCUCUUGAUGUAUGCUGAAAAUGGUAUGGAAUCCGUUCCCAUCCGGAGGAAGGCCCCGGAAUCGGCGUAGGUGC
Long non-coding RNA from Aedes albopictus (Asian tiger mosquito), 645 nucleotides. RefSeq lists it as uncharacterized. Lineage: Eukaryota; Metazoa; Arthropoda; Insecta; Diptera; Culicidae. The record is from RefSeq and is a predicted model, not a curated record. The transcript is spliced from 2 exons.